This 194-nucleotide ribosomal RNA is filed under the name uncultured bacterium. RNAcentral's name for it is "partial 16S rRNA". It matches the Rfam family "Bacterial small subunit ribosomal RNA", at positions 338 to 524 of the family's 1533-position model. The record is from RNAcentral. RNAcentral also lists the same sequence under 1 other name.
CCUACGGGAGGCAGCAGUGGGGAAUAUUGGACAAUGGGCGAAAGCCUGAUCCAGCAAUGCCGCGUGUGUGAAGAAGGCCUGCGGGUUGUAAAGCACUUUCAGUGGGGAAGAAAAGCUCGGGGCUAAUACCUCCGGGCCUUGACGUUACCCACAGAAGAAGCACCGGCUAACUCCGUGCCAGCAGCCGCGGUAAU